This is a long non-coding RNA of Aedes albopictus (Asian tiger mosquito), 3610 nucleotides long. RefSeq lists it as uncharacterized. The transcript has 2 exons. The record is from RefSeq and is a predicted model, not a curated record. Lineage: Eukaryota; Metazoa; Arthropoda; Insecta; Diptera; Culicidae.
GACAAGACAGACAAGACAGACAAGACAGACAAGACAGACAAGACAGACAAGACAGACAAGACAGACAAGACAGACAAGACAGACAAGACAGAGCUUAAGGGACUGAGUUUGGCCAACCAUAAACUAGCUGGCGGUAGUGGGCAAACGUCAAACUCGAACAAAAAUGAUGCCAGCGCCACAGAUGUGUAGUUGACCAACUAUCAAAUUUUCAAAUUGACCAUUAAAUCGGUGAAUGAUAGAAAUUUCUAGAGUUACGUCCGUUUGUCUGUGCCGUAAUUAUUAGUAAUAGUUCUUUACUUAAUCAUUGUUUAUCAUAUUCUUGUGCGCCGUAUUCACGAAGUGGUAACCAGGAUUCAACAGAUUGUGCAAUCAACUUGCACAGUAGAGCUUUGGGGUUCAUUGUCGAUAACAGUGUAGCAACAUCCGUCUUCGGUGCAAUGCCGAUAACGGUCGGAGACAUUCCCUAUAAAAUAGCUGAGGCUUACUCAAGGUGUCACCAUAAAUUGACCGUCUCACAUUGGAGUAAAUCACAUCAAAAUCUGAUCAUAAGUGGAAAAACUCAAAAUGAAGUAAUUGGGUUUUCCGUUGUGUUUUUGCUAAGUGUAGUUAUCGUGUAAUCGUUUGACAGCUAAGCAGUGUUCAAAUGUUUUGUUUACGCUUAUCAGAAGAGGUUAAGUGAAGCUGAAGUUUUGCCGUUUUCUUUGAUAUGACUCACAGCGCGUGCUAGUUUUGACCGUACAAAGUGAAUGAAAUUGAUAGUCAAUCAAUUCAAUGAUGCAGUUUGUUAAAGAAGGUUAAUGUUGUUAUUCUGUUAAUUUGAAACCCGAACAAAUUGGCGUUGAAUUUACAUAUAAUAGAUGAAAAUAUUGAAAAAAAUAUUUGAUGGAAUCCUUUACGUAAAUUCAAAAUGAAAUAAGUUGAUUUUCCGGCUGUUUCCGGAAAAUCUGCUUUUAGUGUAUGAUAAAACUAUUGUUCCUCUUUCAAAUGCAAAAAGAAAACCUCCCGGAUGUUUCCGAUUUCAAAAGUUGCAACACUUUGAAAAAAUCUUGAUAAUUAUAUUAUUAUAUGAUAUUAUUUGCCUUAAAACACUAUUUGGCCCUCUGAACGUAUUUUUGCUGAAAACUAGAAUUCAACAGCUUUCAAGCAAAAAAAGAAGUUUAAAAUCGGUCAACUGGUUCAAAAGUUGUGAUUUUUUGAAAAAAUUUAGUUUUGAAAAAUCUUGACUUUUACAAUCAUAAAAUUGGUCACCCUAAGACGAAAUAAAAAAACCCGAUUUAAUCCACCUAUGGUGAACAGAACCCUUCUUACACUUAUUAAAAAUAUUGUUGUAUUAUGCGUAUUGAGCAAAUUUAUUUUGCGUGAUUGACCAAAAGUUCUAGAAAAUAUUGUGGAUUUGACAUCUAGUGAAUUGGUUCCCAAAAUAGCAUCAGACCAUGGACUUACCAGAAAUGCCAGACACCUCCUAGAAUCUUAUAUGGAAUGUUAAAAAAUAGCUUUCAUAUUCUGGAAUAUUGUAUCUUUUGUUAACUGCCAAAUAAUCUUGAAUCGAUUAACAAAUGGAUAAGAAAAUCAGCGAGAUGCACUUUGUCUAAUAUCUCUUAAUCAGUCGAAUAAAUUAGCUCCGAAGUACUUGGUAUUCAUGGUUAUGGUGUAAAAAUGACAAAAAUGACAUAUCUACUAAGUUAAUCAGUUUUGGCAUUAACUAGUUAUUUUGGCGGUCCGGUUCUUGCAUUUUUCCCACAAUAUAUAAAUUCAAAGCUUUCAUUUAACAUAUUGUUAGUUUUCAUAAAAUUCCUGUGUAUUUGUAAUUUGUUAAUUAUAAUUUUGUUGAAAACAAUAACCUGCUAGAAUACACUUUGUAUGAGAUCAGCAUUAUUUAUUGAAAAAUAACUUCCCAUAGACUGGUGAAAAACUAAUGCAAGAUAACAAGUGAAUAUAAUAAUAAAAAUAAAAAAAAGAAUUUAUUGAAAUACUCUUCGUAAGAUAUCUCACUAAUCAAAUGUCGAAUCGAAAUAAAAUUUCAGGGCCUUAUACAAGGAUGUUGUAGCUUUCAUUUGGUGCUUAGAGAACCAAAAUCGGUUGACAGAUGCCUGAGAUAUUUAUUAUGGUACCCUUGGUUCAAAAUCUUUCAAAAAGUUAACCUGUACUACUCCCAAGUACUCUUUGAAAGAUAUCUCGGUAAUCAAAUGUCCAAUCCUAAUGAAAUUGUAUAGGGUUCUACUAGAAUGUUGUAGCUUUCAUUUGGUGCCAGGGUAACCGAAAUCGGUUGACAGACGGCUAAGAUAUUUAUUAUCAUACAAUUGGUCAAAAAUCUCAAAAAGUUUAGUUGUAUAAAUCCUAAGUACCCUUCGAAAGAUAUCUCUGUAACCAAAUGUCCAAUCGAAAUAAAAUUUUUGGGUGAUCUACUAGGAUGCUGUAGCUUUCAUUUGGUGCCAAGAGAACUUAAAUCGAUUGACAAACGGCCAAAAUAUUUAUUAUGAUACACUUGGUGAAAAAUCUUAAAAAGUUUAGAAGUAUGACUCAUAAGUACUCUUCGAGAGAUAUCUCGGUAACCAAACGUCCAAUCGAAAAAAAAAAUCAAUAGCGUUCUACUAGGAUGUAGUAGCUUUCAUUUACUUCCAAGAGAACUCAAAUCGGUUGACAGACGGCUGAGAAACGUGCGUGACUUUUUUUUGUAACGCACAUACACACACACACACAUACACACAUACACACAUACACACACACAUACAUACAGACAUUUGCUCAGUUCGUCGAGCUGAGUUCAUUGGUAUAUGAGACUCGGCCCUCCGGGCCUCGGAUCGAAAGUCGGUUUUUCGAGCGAUAUUUAUACCCUUCUUAUGGGUGUAAGAAGGGUAAAAAUACGAAAACUAUGAAACACGUUUCAUUACUAAUUUGGGUUGCAUUUGGGUUGCGAAAAUGCAUCAAAAUAAUUUUGAUCAGUUUUGAUGUACUAGGUGCUCCACUGUGCGUCUGCUCUACCGUCAGCAUGUUGUUCCUCGUAGUUUUCGGCGGACUCCUCCUCGCCCAGGGCGCUUGGUCUCAGGAUUCUCCGUUGCAGUGCCUCGGCGUCGGCUGCAAUUACCAGGAUCUCAAUGAACGGUUCUGCCACGUCAACUCGGCUCGCUUUUGCCAGUGUGGUUUAGACGAAAACGGUGAUUGGUUCCUCAAGGUUAUAGCUUGCCCGUACCCGGAUACCUUGUUCAGUCGAAGCCAGCAGCUCUGCGUCCACUCGUCAUUGUGGAAUCCGCACGAGUGUGCGAUACAGAUUAUGCCACCACCAACCCCCCCUCCACAACUUGACUGACUGAUGAGUUAGUAUCGCGUAUCUACUUGCAAAUCGUAGAUGUCGCUACUGUACGUAAACAACGGGUCUAUCCUUCACUGACGCAACGACUUUUGUCCAUGCGAAAACACCUUUUUGUUUCGCGGUAAGUGGAAGCCAACAAGAGGUUAGCGUUUCGUAUCAAAAGGACAUAUUCAACAGAAGCGCAAAAACUAAUGUUCAUUAAAAUUUAAUCAAUUUGAUUUUUGUUGUUGCGGUAAGAAAUAUAAUAAAAGUACUUUCCAGAUUCUGCCUUGCAUAGAGGAACUGAAUUAAGUGUUGAAU